RNAcentral lists this ribosomal RNA (268 nucleotides) under uncultured bacterium. Its description in RNAcentral is "partial 16S ribosomal RNA". It matches the Rfam family "Bacterial small subunit ribosomal RNA", at positions 28 to 297 of the family's 1533-position model. The record is from RNAcentral.
GACGAACGCUGGCGGCGUGCUUAACACAUGCAAGUCGAGCGGUAAGGCCCUUUCGGGGGUACGACGAGCGGCGAACGGGUGAGUAACACGUGGGUGACCUGCCCUCAGCUCUGGGAUAAGCCUGGGAAACUGGGUCUAAUACUGGAUAUGACUCCACGGUGCAUGUCGUGGGGUGGAAAGCCUUGUGCGGCUGAGGAUGGGCCCGCGGCCUAUCAGCUUGUUGGUGGGGUGAGGCCUACCAAGGCGACGACGGGUAGCCGGCCUGAGA